RNAcentral lists this long non-coding RNA (5901 nucleotides) under Gossypium barbadense (sea-island cotton). Its description in RNAcentral is "long non-coding RNA (GBAR_LNC000730)". Lineage: Eukaryota; Viridiplantae; Streptophyta; Magnoliopsida; Malvales; Malvaceae. The record is from RNAcentral.
ACCUAUAUCACUUCAGAAUAAACUAACCAUUUGUACCAUACCAUUCACACAUUAUAAGUACCAAACUAUCAUAAUGUAACCAUCAUCAAAAUGGCACCAAACAACCAUCUUAUACAUACCAAAAUCAAUGUCUAAACAUUUAAACAAACAUCAAAUACAAGUCCAUUUAUACAUGCCAUUAUAAUCUUUGCUAAAACAUUAAGAACUACCGAUAUAAUUGCUGGAUAGUGUGAUAGAUCCCUGACAAACUUCCAAACCGAUCGAGCUUCCAAUAAUCUAAAAAGUAAAAGAAAAAUAACAGCAUAAGCAAUGAAUGGUUAGUAAGCUCAUAUAAAUUUUAAACAUAACAUUUCAUUUUAAUAAUGAACUUUAUAAGGUAAACAUAAACCUAUACCAAUGCCACAAGAUUUAUCAAACCAUAAUUAUCGACUCACAAAUGAGUAAGUCCAUCAACACUACAUAUAUUUAUCAUUCCUUACAUAGUAGGAUUGUAUAUGACAUUUUACACAAUCAUUAACCCUUUUCAUAAGACUUUGAAACCUUCCAUUUUCUUACUUUAGCUUAACAGACAUUAUCAACUCACAAAUUAGUGUAUUUAUCCACAACCUAGAUAAAUUCAUCCAUAACUUAAGUAAAUUUCUCACAUAUAAGUAAACCCUUUAACUUGUCAAUGCAUUUACAUUAUCACAUUACAUCUGAAUUAUGACCUUACCGUUUUAUUACAUUUUCUUACUCGUAUCAUUUGUAUAACACAAGACAUAAGCAUAAACAUAGACCAAUUACACAAGCUUGACACAAGCCUAUACAUCAUCACCAAUACACAAGUUAUUGCGUAUAUUCAUAAUUCACUCGAAAUAUCAUAAGGUAAGUCAUAUACAUGAAUCACAUCACUUCAAAUCAUCAAUUUCAUGAACAUUAACAUACUUUCUUUAAACAUUACCUUUUUUAUUCCUUUCACAAAUUGAAGAUAUAAGUAUUUUGAAUACUUACUGAUCCCUUCCUUUUGAUACCCGUUGAAUCCAAUGAAAUAAUAUCCAAUAAUGUAAAUAAUAUUUUCAGUGCAACUUACUUGAUACAAUACAUUGGCACGAAAACUGCUAAGCUCAAAGCCUAAUAUAACACACCGGCGCGAAGCCUGCUAGGCCCAAAGCCUGAUAUAAUAAUUCAAAAACGAAGCCUACUAGGCACAAAGCCUGAUAUAAUACACUAGCACGAAGCCUGCUAGGCACAAAGCCUGAUGUAGUACACCGGCACGAAGCGGCACAAAGCCUAAUUUAAUACACCGAUAAAUACAACUCAAUUUCAUUAUUAAUUUUCAACAACCAAAAUUCAGUAAUUAUAAUCACCAAGAUUAUUAGAAUAAAAUCAAUAUCAAGAAUUUAAUAUGACAUAUUAGAUGUAACAAGAAUUUACCUGGCUAAAUUGUAGAAAUAUCAAAGUAUAGGGGCUUUUUGAUAAUUUUCCAUUCCCUUCGAUUUUCCACUCGAUCUUGAUCUAAAUUAAUAAUUUCAUUCAAUUCAUUAAUUUAGAUGGUAAAAUAAUUUAUUUUAUGCAAUUUAGUCAUUUUUGAAAAUUUUACAAAAUUACCCCUAACAUUUUACUUUUAUUUAAUUUAGUCCUUGAGCCUAAAACUUGCAAAUUAACCAUUUUUAUCACAAUUGCAUGAUAUCCAAAUAUUUAUAGCUUCUAUUUCAGCCUAUUUUUGCAACAAUUUCACAUCAAAUCCUUGAUUUAUUACUAUUUCAACAAUGUAGUCCUUAAUCGGUAAAUUUGUCAAAAAUCACUUAAUAAAAUACUUAUGAAAAACCAACCAACACGUCAAAUUCAUCAUUUAACAUCUAAAAUCACAAAGAUUCAUCAAUGGCAAUAUUCAAAAUCUUUAACAGUUUCAAAAACAAAGGUAUGGGCUAGCUGGACCUAGUUGCAACGAUCUCAAAAACAUAAAAAUUAAAAUAAAAAAAAGGAAUCUCAAAAUCUCCCACAUGCAAGAUGCUAUGUUUGGUCGAUUCUCCAAGCUUAAUUUCCAUGGUUUUUUGGCAAAGUUUAAGAUAGUAUGAAGAAGAAAGACUUAAUCUUUACUUAAUUUUGUUUAAAAUUUGUUUUAAUUACAAAAUUGCCACUAUACUAAAUUUUUAUUCAAUUUUUCAUUAAAUUUAAUACCGACUACAGCCCACUAUCCAAAAUAGGGAUUAAUUUCCCUAUUGGUCCUCUAACAUUUACUACUCAGGCCAUUAAAUCAUCCUAGUGCUUAAAUUAAUAAUUUUUGCAUCUUUUACAAUUUAGUCCUUUUUUUUAAUUAGCUAUCUAAACAUUUAAAUUUCUCAAUGAAACUUUAAUACAACCUUAAUAACACUCCGUAAAUAUUUAAAAAAAUAUUUAUGGCUCUGUUUAUAAAAACGAGGUCCUGAUACCAUUUUUUAAAACCACUUGACCUUAGGGUCUUACGACUUGAACUUAAUUAAUCAUUCAUAUAACAUAAAUUAUCAUAUCAAAAAGCCUUUUAUAACUAUAUAUGACUCAUAAAUAUUAAAUAAUAAUAUUUACGAACUUACUCGUUAGAUUUGUGGCCUCGAAACCACUAUUUCUGACACCACUGAAAAACGGGUUGUUACAAGUCGUAUAGGUCGAGUUUUGAAUUAAUCGGAGGAUAAUCAAGGAAAAGGAAAAAUUGCAAAUUAGUCCUAUAAUAGCCCGUUUUUGGGUCAAAUCAAACCAGUAGUUUUGGGACUACAAAUCCGAAGUAGAAAUGUUUAUUUUAUUAUUUCUUUAAGGUUUACAGCAUGAUAGGAUAAUUGCGUGAAAAUUUUGUUGAGAAAUUUUAUCGAUUGAGUACUUAAUUUGACUAGAAGGACUAAAUUGCAAUAGGUGUAAAAUUUGAGUUCUAUAGGCUAAAGGUAGUAAAUUGUUAUGAAAUUCUAAAUUAGAAGUCCUUAAAUGGUAACUAGACCAUUAUAUAGGAUGGACAACAAUGGACAUGGAGUAGGUAAAAUUUUAAAGUUUAAGUGAGGCGUAAAUAGGUAAUUUGGUAAAUAAAGACAAAAUAACUAAAUAGAAGAUGUCAUCUUCUUCAAUUUAGUCCCUUAUAGCCAAAAUUUUGGGGAAAACCAUACCUAGGGUGUAACACCCCAAACCCGGCCUGGAAGUUUGGCUCGAACUUGGCUUGUCACAUUGAAGUGUUUUUCGAAAACCAUGUUUCCAUUAAAAACCCUUCUUAAUAAUUAAAAACUUAUACCCUUUUUAAACCUUGUUAGAAAACCUCAUCUGAAUAACAUUCUUAACAACUUUGUAAAAAUCUUGGUAGUUGCGGAAACUUACUUUAAAAACAAUUGCGGUUACGUGAUGUUUUGAAUAACAGUAGUUGCUUUGGAAAAUCGUGUUCUAAUACUAGCAAUUAUAAGAACAAUAAAUAAAAUUCCAAAUUUGAAAUCCAGAAAAUUACAACGGCUUUACUACAACCCACAUAAAAUAAUUUAAAGGUAAUAAUCAAAACUGUAACAUAAACAGUGUGUGUGGCUUCCUCCGAGCCCCUAGCAACCCCGAUCCAUCUAAGGCUAGAAAUUACCUGAAAGGUUAAUAAACGGGGUGAGUUUACGAAAACUCAGUGUGAAAUCCCCUACUAUAAAAAGGAACAGUCAGUCAUCUAAAAGAAUUAAAAGUCUGGCCCUAACCUUACUUACAAUUUCAAUACCAAUCGGGUCUUAGCCCAUCACAACAGACAGUACAAGAUGAACCUUAGCCCAUUACAGAAUAAGAAACAUUAUCAGAAUUGGAACCAAAAUGAGAAUCAAAAUCAGAAUCAGAAUCAAAAUCAAAAUUACGUGACAGAAUCAGAAUCAGAAUGUGAAUGCAAUCCCAACCCAAUCCAGCCGUAUACACCCCCGUACCAACCUUACACCAUGUGGGGAGACAACUCGACCCACCCAUCCGCUACACACCACAGAAUUUGCAGCAUGGUUGCCAGAACAGAUAUCGUGACAGAGUCACCAGAUACAGAUAUUGUGGCAGAGCCACCAGAAUCAGAUAAUGUGGCAAACCCACCUAACAGAAUACGUGGCACAAAGCCAUAGAUAACUGUAAUAACUUCGGCACAUAGCAAUCAGUGACGGUAAUAUAAUUGGCGCACAGCCUUCGGUAAAUAUGAUCGACACAGAGUCGUCAACUAAUAUGUUAGGCACAUAGCUGCUGGUAAAUACGUUUGGCACGAAGCCAUAGUCAAGAUGGCACAAAGCCAUAUUUAGGUUGGCACAGAGCCAUUAAUAACGGGUCUAUAAUCGGCACAAAGCCCACAACAACGGCACACAGCCUUCGGUAGCGUGAUCGGCACUUAGCCAUCGAUCGGUCAACAGAUAUUGUGACAGAGUCACCAAAUACAGAUAUUGUGGCAGAGCCACCAGAACAGAUAUUUGUGGCAUAGCCACCAGAACGCUUCCUCCGUACAAAAUCCCAACCCAUGCAACAUGUCAUGUAUGCAGAAUGUUAUGCCCAUAUUUGAAUCAAACAAUCACAGUCAAGUCAUUCAUAUCACCAACAUAUAUUCACAAUCAAAUCCGUCAAACACACAGUCCAAGUCAGUCACUUGCCCACAAGGGCAAAACAGUCAUUUAACACCCUAGGGGCAAAAUGGUAAUUUUACCCCACAAGGGUAUCUCGGUAAUUCUACCCUACAGGGGUAUUUUGGUAUUUCUACCCUACAAGGGUAUUUCGAUAAUUCUACCCUACAGGGGUAUUUUGGUAAUUCUAUCCUAUAAGGGUAUUUCUGUAAUUCUACCCUAUAGGGGUAUUUCGGAAAUUCUACCCUACAGGGGUAUUUCAGUAAUUUCUCAAUCAAGGGUAAAACGGUAAUUCUGUAAAUCGAGGGUAAAACGAUAAUUUUGUAAACUGAGGGUAAACCAGUAAUUUUGUAAAUCAAGGGUAAAACGGUAAUUUUACAAAUCGAGGGUAAAACGGUAAUUCUGUAAAUCGAGGGUAAAACAGUAAUUCUAUAAACUGAGGGUAAAAUGAUAAUUCUAUAAAUUGAGGGUAAAAUAGUAAUUCUGUAACCUGAGGGUAAAACGGUAAUUCUGUAAAUCGAGGGUAAAACGGUAAUUUUACAAAUCGAGGGUAAAACGGUAAUUUUAUAAAUCGAGGGUAAAAUAGUAAUUCUAUAAACUGAGGGUAAAACGGUAAUUUUGUAAAUCGAGGGUAAAACGGUAAUUUUGUAAACUGAGGGUAAAACGGUAAUUCUGUAAAUCGAGGGUAAAACGGUAAUUUUACAAAUCGAGGGUAAAACGAUAAUUCUAUAAAUCGAGGGUAAAAUAGUAAUUCUGUAAACUGAGGGUAAAACGGUAAUUCUGUAAAUCAAGGGUAAAACGGUAAUUCUGUAAACUGAGGGUAAAAUGGUAAUUCUGUAAAUCGAGGGUAAAAUAGUAAUUCUGUAAACUGAGGGUAAAACGGUAAUUCUGUAAAUCGAGGGUAAAAUAGUAAUUCUGUAAACUGAGGUAAAACGGUAAUUCUGUAAAUCGAGGGUAAAACGGUAAUUUUACAAAUCGAGGGCAUUUUAGUAAUUGGUAAACUAAAGUAUUCUAAACAUGGAUAACAAUACGAAUGGGCCUAAAGCCUAUUCUCGGCCCAAAUGGGCCCACACGCUCGUGUGGCUCUUUUAGCCCAAACCUAGCCACAGAUAUGCGAUUCACCUAGCCUAGUCGAAUAUUUACUACACAAUCAAACAACUUAUCCAAUUGGGCCCGUAGGCCCAUUGGGCCCACAUGGCCCCUUUCGGUCCAUUGCGGCCCGAAGUAGCCAUCCAACAACAAGAGUAGUGAUAAAUACACACCUGAUUGGAGACUGGAGUUAAUCCACGCUCCGAGCACUCUUAGCCGACGCCCAACCCAAACGAGCACGCCAUAAAGCGAAAGGGAUCAG